RNAcentral lists this long non-coding RNA (1325 nucleotides) under Citrus sinensis (sweet orange). RNAcentral's name for it is "long non-coding RNA (CSIN_LNC000798)". The record is from RNAcentral. Lineage: Eukaryota; Viridiplantae; Streptophyta; Magnoliopsida; Sapindales; Rutaceae.
CAAAUCUCAAAUUUUCUAGUUCAGAAAACUAACUAAUAAACCAAACAUUUUUUUAAACUUUUCCUGUUUAAUUUAGACAAAAUUUUUAAUCUUUCUCGUUCCUCCUAAACUCCCCAAAUCUAAAAAACCCCAACUGUGUCACCUUAUCAACCCCAACUCUUCUCUCAGCCACUCCUUCCUUUUCUUUCUCUUACAAUCCAAUGCAAUCUCUUACUAUCUAACUCAAUUUUUCCCUCUCAAUCUCGUCUCUUUUCAAUCCGUAAACUUACAUCUUUCUAUAAUAAUCCAACAGAAUCCCAUACGCCCGUGAAAUUCUAGCCACUUUUUUGCCUAAUGCCAAUCUUCGUCAUCGAGAAAAAUGAUUUAAGGGGUUUAAUUUAGCUCCACGAUCGUGGACAGAUGCCUUGGUCAAAGUUAAAUAGCGUUGUUAGAGGCUGUUUAAAGAAGAAGAAGAAGAAGAAGCAGAAGCACCACUUAGGUCAAGCAGUUGUAGAUCUGGGCAUGGUAAUUAAGUAAGGUGAGCAUUAGCUAAAUAAUUAAUAAUUGUUAAAUAUUCUCUACUUAUAUGUGAAUUUAGUAAGAAGUUAAUUUGGUUCUUUUUGUUGAAUUUUAAGUAGGUUUUCUAAUUCUUUUAUUUUUAUUCAACUAAUAAACGGUUUUGGAAUUUUUUUUCUUUCCGCAUUUUGAUUUGUUGAUAUGUGAAUGGUAAAAGUUGUGUCAUAUGGACCAUUUUCCAUGUUUAACAUAAAAAUAUCACAAAUUACUGAUACUAUAGUAUAUGUAACUUAGACAUCAGAGAUUUCUGACAUUAAGGUAUCAGUAAUAAAAAUAAAGUAAUUCUAAUUAGGUUCCAAAUAGAACUCGAACCGAGGACCUCUAAUACUCAAGCGUUUAAAAGUCAAAAAAAAAAGACCAGGAAGUCCAAAUCUCAAAUUUUCUAGUUCAGAAAACUAACUAAUAAACCAAACAUUUUUUUAAACUUUUCCUGUUUAAUUUAGACAAAAUUUUUAAUCUUUCUCGUUCCUCCUAAACUCCCCAAAUCUAAAAAACCCCAACUGUGUCACCUUAUCAACCCCAACUCUUCUCUCAGCCACUCCUUCCUUUUCUUUCUCUUACAAUCCAAUGCAAUCUCUUACUAUCUAACUCAAUUUUUCCCUCUCAAUCUCGUCUCUUUUCAAUCCGUAAACUUACAUCUUUCUAUAAUAAUCCAACAGAAUCCCAUACGCCCGUGAAAUUCUAGCCACUUUUUUGCCUAAUGCCAAUCUUCGUCAUCGAGAAAAAUGAUUUAAGGGGUUUAAUUUAGCUCCACGAUCGUGGACAGAUGC